CCCUUGUGGAGGAGGACGCCGAAGGUGGGGCUAAUGACUGGGGUGAAGUCGUAACAAGGUAGCCGUACCGGAAGGUGCGGCUGGAUCACCUCCUAACAGGGAGACAACAAAAUGUUUAAUAUUAUUAUUUUGUCACCUUAGGUCGAUCGGUAUCUCACGUUCUUAAUUUAUUAAGAAUUUCAUUUCCUAAGUUUUUCUAGGUCACACCCAUUAUUUUUCCUGGGCCAUUAGCUCAGGUGGUUAGAGCGCACCCCUGAUAAGGGUGAGGUCCCUGGUUCAAGUCCAGGAUGGCCCAUAUCUCUAUGUUGGGGGUAUAGCUCAGUUGGUAGAGCGCCUGCUUUGCAAGCAGGAUGUCAGCGGUUCGAGUCCGCUUACCUCCACUGAUUACCACCUCUUCCAUAACCGGUAGAAAGGAAUUGUUUUGAGUUGUGAUCAUUAUUCUGAACGAAUCUAGCUUCCUAAUGAAAUCAUUAAGAUGCUGGAUUCAUUGAAUUAAUUUCAUUGUUUUCAGAGAACCUUGACAACUGCAUAGAUUAUUUUUAAAGACAAUAAGCAUCUUUAAUGAUGCAGAUUUAUUAUUUGUGCGAAUGCAUUAAUAACAAUUCUAUUGAGCUGAUGCUUCAAUUUUUGAAGUUAUUGGUCAAGCUACAAAGGGCUCACGGAGGAUACCUAGGCACACAGAGGC
RNAcentral lists this unclassified non-coding RNA (685 nucleotides) under uncultured Prochlorococcus sp. RNAcentral's name for it is "partial may contain 16S ribosomal RNA, 16S-23S ribosomal RNA intergenic spacer, and 23S ribosomal RNA". The stretch from base 1 to 96 matches the Rfam family "Bacterial small subunit ribosomal RNA", at positions 1438 to 1533 of the family's 1533-position model. Lineage: Bacteria; Bacillati; Cyanobacteriota; Cyanophyceae; Synechococcales; Prochlorococcaceae. The record is from RNAcentral.